Molecule: ribosomal RNA, 263 nt
Filed under: uncultured bacterium
Lineage: Bacteria
Description: partial 16S ribosomal RNA
Rfam family: Bacterial small subunit ribosomal RNA
Source: RNAcentral
GUCCACGCCGUAAACGAUGUGUGCUGGAUGUUGGGCAGUCUGACUGUUCAGUGUCGUAGCUAACGCGAUAAGCACACCGCCUGGGGAGUACGGCCGCAAGGUUGAAACUCAAAGGAAUUGACGGGGGCCCGCACAAGCGGUGGAGCAUGUGGUUUAAUUCGACGCAACGCGCAGAACCUUACCAGGACUUGACAUGGAAGUGCCGCGUACAGAGAUGUACGUUUCCGCGAGGACACUUUGCACAGGUGCUGCAUGGCUGUCGU